GACGAACGCUGGCGGCGUGCCUAAUACAUGCAAGUUGAGCGCUGAAGGUUGGUACUUGUACCAACUGGAUGAGCAGCGAACGGGUGAGUAACGCGUGGGGAAUCUGCCUUUGAGCGGGGGACAACAUUUGGAAACGAAUGCUAAUACCGCAUAAAAACUUUAAACACAAGUUUUAAGUUUGAAAGAUGCAAUUGCAUCACUCAAAGAUGAUCCCGCGUUGUAUUAGCUAGUUGGUGAGGUAAAGGCUCACCAAGGCGAUGAUACAUAGCCGACCUGAGAGGGUGAUCGGCCACAUUGGGACUGAGACACGGCCCAAACUCCUACGGGAGGCAGCAGUAGGGAAUCUUCGGCAAUGGACGAAAGUCUGACCGAGCAACGCCGCGUGAGUGAAGAAGGUUUUCGGAUCGUAAAACCCUGUUGGUAGAGAAGAACGUUGGUGAGAGCGGAAAGCUCAUCAAGUGACGGUAACUACCCAGAAAGGGACGGCUAACUACGUG
This 497-nucleotide ribosomal RNA is filed under the name uncultured bacterium. Its description in RNAcentral is "partial 16S ribosomal RNA". It matches the Rfam family "Bacterial small subunit ribosomal RNA", at positions 28 to 507 of the family's 1533-position model. The record is from RNAcentral.